Molecule: long non-coding RNA, 1248 nt
Filed under: Bos indicus x Bos taurus (hybrid cattle)
Lineage: Eukaryota; Metazoa; Chordata; Mammalia; Artiodactyla; Bovidae
Description: lncRNA (ENSBIXG00005023127.1)
Source: RNAcentral
CUCAACAUACUUUCCAGGGAUUUCUUUCUCUUUUCUUUUUAUUGAGUCACACCAAUAACUUUUACUUAGUGGAAGAAGGGUUGGUGAAGAUGUGUGGGUGGCUCUUUAAAUAUCUCUCCUUACAUUUUCAAGAAUAAUUUUAUUCUAUUAAAAUACCUUUUAUUCUUUCUAUUCCCCUAAAAGGCCAACAGAACAGAUCAUACUCUGAAAAGCAGGUGGGGUAUGAUUGCAAGCUGUCUUGGGGAGCAGCUGAAUCAACCACCCACCUGAGUCACUCAGCAUCUGCAGACCCUCUUACAGGUACCGUUCCUGGGUCUGGUGAAUUGGGGCUCAAAAAACACAGCAGCGUCGGUAGUUGUGGUGUGGAAGCCAAGGGUUAUUUGAGCAUUUUUUCAGACAGGGGGGGCAGGUACGCUUCUCCACGCUCUUCCUUCCUAGAGCUCCUUUUUCCCUCCACUUUCUUGCAAGACCUCACUUCCAGAAACCGGCAUUCUCUCUCAUUUCUCUCCUUUCUGCUCUCAGGUCCCAAAGAGACGGAACGUUUGGUUCUAAAGCACGGUUGCUGUUCAAAGGAGUCUGAAAAUGACUGAAUUUUGGAAUGGGAUCUUCCUUUUGAUCCCAUUAAUGGCUCCUUGAAUGACCCAUCCCUGAGCACUUUCUGGGAUCCCGCACACGAGUGUGGCAUCGAGAUCCCUGGUUCUCAUAAGAAUACCUUCUAGGAUGGCUGGCAGACGACAUCAUUCUGGGAAGCACAGGAAGUGGGCAGGGCAGGCAGCUUUUCCUGUAACUGGCAUCUUGUGAUCCACGGCGGUCCCGGAGUCCUCACUCAUCCUCCUCUAUCCAGCUGUGACCCCGGAAGCUGCUCAUCCAUUUGGCAAAAGACACAUCAUCAUCAUCAUCAUCAUCAUCAUCUUUGUGCUCCAUGUAAAGGCGCUUCAGAAUAUCCAAGGAGAGGAGCAGGGCAGGAAAGAUGGGAACUCUGGGUCUUCUCAUUUCUACCCACUCACAUCGACGUCAUCGCUCUCAUAAUUGGUGCAGAAGGUGAGUCGCAGGGACCCGGUUCAAGCUGUUUCAACUGGAGCCAACCUAGAUUUCCACAAGUCCUGAUUUCUGCCACCCCGCCGUUGCCCUCAAUAACCUCAAAUUCUUCCAAACUAAAAUCUGGCGAUGGUAGAGCUAAGAAGACCGGUGAUAUCGGGCUAUCUUCAGCUUUUGGCUCUUUCCUCCCACAUUUUUAAAAGUCCUUCC